UCCUCCUAAAGAGUAACGGAGGAGCACGAAGGUUGGCUAAUCCUGGUCGGACAUCAGGAGGUUAGUGCAAUGGCAUAAGCCAGCUUGACUGCGAGCGUGACGGCGCGAGCAGGUGCGAAAGCAGGUCAUAGUGAUCCGGUGGUUCUGAAUGGAAGGGCCAUCGCUCAACGGAUAAAAGGUACUCCGGGGAUAACAGGCUGAUACCGCCCAAGAGUUCAUAUCGACGGCGGUGUUUGGCACCUCGAUGUCGGCUCAUCACAUCCUGGGGCUGAAGUAGGUCCCAAGGGUAUGGCUGUUCGCCAUUUAAAGUGGUACGCGAGCUGGGUUUAGAACGUCGUGAGACAGUUCGGUCCCUAUCUGCCGUGGGCGCUGGAGAACUGAGGGGGGCUGCUCCUAGUACGAGAGGACCGGAGUGGACGCAUCACUGGUGUUCGGGUUGUCAUGCCAAUGGCACUGCCCGGUAGCUAAAUGCGGAAGAGAUAAGUGCUGAAAGCAUCUAA
RNAcentral lists this ribosomal RNA (500 nucleotides) under Salmonella enterica. RNAcentral describes it as "partial 23S ribosomal RNA". It matches the Rfam family "Bacterial large subunit ribosomal RNA", at positions 2285 to 2784 of the family's 2925-position model. Lineage: Bacteria; Pseudomonadati; Pseudomonadota; Gammaproteobacteria; Enterobacterales; Enterobacteriaceae. The record is from RNAcentral.